This is a non-coding RNA of Vicia faba (fava bean), 231 nucleotides long. The record is from the annotation of a GenBank genome assembly. Lineage: Eukaryota; Viridiplantae; Streptophyta; Magnoliopsida; Fabales; Fabaceae.
AUGAAGCCGCAUCCAUUGUCAUUCACUGUUCUCCCCAACGAACUCUUGGAAGAAAUAUUUUCCCUGCUCAUAGUAAAAUCUCUUAUGCGAUUCAUAUGCGUUAACAAAUCUUUCAAUACUCUCAUUUCCCAUACUUACUUCAUUCACAUGCAUCUCAAUAAAUCACAACGAAACCCUAACCUCGCACUGAUUUCGCAGCAAAAUUACAAUUUUCCAAUUAAGAUGCCAUAA